Panicum virgatum (switchgrass) is the source of this 518-nucleotide long non-coding RNA. RefSeq lists it as uncharacterized. The record is from RefSeq and is a predicted model, not a curated record. Lineage: Eukaryota; Viridiplantae; Streptophyta; Magnoliopsida; Poales; Poaceae. The transcript has 3 exons.
GGCACACGGUGCUGCAGCCUCUCUUCGCAGCUUGGUGGCAGUGCGCCCGCUCUCCGUGAGCUGCGUGGAACUGGAGCUCGAGCUGCUCGUCACACAUGCACUCCAGCCUUGCCAUGCCGCAUGGAAGGCAUGUGGCAUCUUUUCUUGGUUAAGCAGGAUGAACUGUGAUUUUGGCUUUCAAAAUUUGCUAUCAGCAGGAACCUUCAUCUUGAAUGGAUUGUCACUUGGAAAUCAUCAACACAAGGAAGUGCAAUAUUUCCUGCCAAUAUUCCAAGAGUGGAGACAGUUGCAAGAAAAACACCAUCCUCUAAGGCCAAGCGAAGCCUCUCUCAAACCAACAAGAAAUUUAUUUCUCCACAUAACUUGAUGAAUGCUGCUGUUAAACUUAUACGGACUAGAAGCCAACGGGUAUGAAAUGCAAAUCUGAUUUCUAUUCAAUUUUUGCAAGUUUUCUAUUCAAACUUGACGAAUGCUGCUGCCAUUAACUUGUAUUUUACUCCUGAACAAGACAAAAUUAU